Molecule: non-coding RNA, 2880 nt
Organism: Styela clava
Lineage: Eukaryota; Metazoa; Chordata; Ascidiacea; Stolidobranchia; Styelidae
Source: RefSeq, a predicted model, not a curated record
ACUUGGAAUGGUAAACGGACGAGAGGCCGUGGUUUGCUAUAUGGAUAAGCCGUCUUAUCGGAUUUUCUCUCCGCGGGAUAAAUAUGUAAAUCCUAAUCCUAAAACCAUUACGGACUUUCAUACGAACCAUCGGAGAGACAGAGAGAGUUUAUUUCAUUUUGUCAAACCAAGUAAACAAUUUAUGCACACAUAAACAAAUAUCAAAAAAAUAGUUUUCGGUAUAUGACUGGGGGGCAACGAUACGACCUUUGGGGGUCAUCAGAGUCAGUUGCCACCCAAUUAUAUUAAAUAAGCAUAAAAAUAACAGGUUCGUGUCAAUAUAUCAAUGUCUCUCACGAUUUAUACUAUGUACAAUAUUUACAUGAAUUUACUAUUUUCAAUUAUGGAAGCAUUCUUUUAAAUAAUGGGAUUUUGCACAAAUUGAAAUUAUAUUGCAAAAUAUAAAAUGAUCGAAACGAAAAAAAGCGUGACGGUUGCUGCCAGACACUGUUUUUACUCAAUGACAUUAAACAAUGUUUAAUGUCAUUGUUUUACUUCACUCUUGGGGGACGAGGCGGUUUCGCUUUUCAUUCGCGAGUUGGAGCUGUUGCUUGGUUGAGGGCCAAUGUUGCACCUGGAGUGUAUUGGAUCAGGUGGAACUCGUAAUAUCUUUUUCGAAGGUAUAAAAUACGGUACCGUACUAUAUAUACUAUGCUGACGAUAUUAGAUUGCAUGUCCGGCUACCAGUACUGCAGUACCUGGUAGCACUGAAGUCCGGUACAGUACCUACUACCUGCCAUACAGUUCUUCAAGUUGUGUCAAUGCCACUGCUUACUACCGCGUUUCCCCGAAAAUAAAACUUUGUCCGAAUUAUGAAAAUUAUUGUAAUAUAAGCCCUUUAAAAUGAUAGUCCAUACCUAAAUUAGAAGAAAUUGUAACUUGAUGGCAAAUUUGUGGAGCGAAAUCACAGGCUGAAAGACGUCUGUUUGCUGUUGUUGACUUGACUACAUAAGGAAAUAAUACACAAAUUAAAGGCACAGCUUAUACAAUAAAGAAACGGAUUUAGUCGCAAUUUAAAAGCAGGUAGCUUUCAUCGCAAGAAACAGAAGGGAUCAUCAUAAGUCUGCGACACCAACAUUUGAAAUCAGUCAAAAAUUGAAAUAAUAAAAAAGGUACGAAUGCGAAAGCAGAAUUCAUACUCCAUGUACAUCCAACAUAUGAGAUUUGAAAGUGAGAAGAGAAAAUGAUGCAGUUUAAAUCUGACUGUGAAAUAGGAAAAACAGUCUUGGUGAACUUAUUGCCACCAACUAACAAAUGUCAGCCGGGCCAUCAAAAAUCCAGAGAACAGAAAUAUAUUCAAGCCUUAUAAAGGUGAUUGCAUGAGUAAUAGAAAAUUCAGAAUUAGGUGAUUGAGAUGGUGAUUAUACAAUCACAAAAAGAGCUGUGGUGAAGUUCAAACAAAGUGUACCCUUGCUAAGAAUUCUUGGUUGGGAAAGUUGAAUUGUGUUCUCAUGUUGUUGCAAUAUAUUUUGAACCUACUUAUGUUGGGAAUUCUAAAUUAAGCAAAAUAUUAUUGUGUUCAAAUUUGAAUAAAGAAAUUGUUUCUUUUUUAUUAAUGCUGUUGCAACUAAAGCCAGUGUAAUAAGACCAGAUCCCAAUUUAUUGUAAAUUUGAGACAUAACUUUCUUCAAAAAAUUAAGUCUACCUUAAAUUUCAAAUGCCAUUCACUUAUUAAUUUCUUGCAUAUCACCAUUAUUGCAAUUUAUACAAAUCAACUUAUGUAAAAUUUCAUUUUUAAUAAAAAUAAAAAAUAUCAUAAUUAAUGUCGAGUGUUCGAGGGGUGCGAGUUUGACAUCCUCUGGUCUACCGUGCUGAGAAUGCAUUUAAAUGAUAUUCAGGCUUCAGCCCCGAUCAUCUAUUAAACAAAUUCCACAUCCAGUAGGGCAUUUAUGCAGAGUCCCAACAACUUGGGGUAUCAUUCCUUUUCCUAAUUUUCAAUUUUAAUCUUUCCUAUGCUUGCUAAAACAUGCUUGGUACCUAAUCAAGGGUGAAAUUUCUUUUCCUGAUAGCUGCUUUCUCCCUCCAUACAGUUACAUUCUUUUGCAGUUCAUUACAAUAUACAAUACAAUUUUAUUUCGAUUACUCUUACUUUGCAAAGUACUUCAUUUCAUAGAUAGCUCUUAGGUAUGUAAUCCUUUUCCUCUGGAAAGUUUAUCUCUGCUCAGUAUAUUCCAGUGCAAUGACUGAAUGAGAAAAUCCAGUCUGCCAGUACGGUACCAUCACUUUUGAAGUAGCUCCGUCUGAUUUGUGUGACUGUGUAACAGAGCAGCUCAAAUGCAUAACAGAUAUACAAGCUAGUUUGUAUUCAAUCUAUAAAUGAGAAAAAGACUGUUGAAAAAACGCUAACACACAACGAUAUAUUUAAACAAGUCAGAGCAACGCACAAGUAUAAACCUGACGAAACGUGCUACGCAACGAGUGUCCCCCUAAACAGCACAAAAACGUAGCUGGCAGCAUCGGUCAUGAAAGUUGGUAAUGGCAAGAGCUGCUGCGGUUCGUGCGUGGCGCGAGCUGCCAUGAAGUGGUAAGAACCGCGCCUCGACAAAGAUGUCCCUACCCUACUUCUGUACUUGUGUCUGAAUGUGUUAUUCUGACAUAUAAGAUUAUAGAACAACGGGACCUUCCAUACGACAGUAUCUGUAGCUUACCGAACAGCCCUAACACUGUUCUGCUGUUAUAGAACAUGGACACCAGACGCUAGAACAGUGGUCGGGAUUCUCGGGAUCGGGAACCACCUGGGAUACCCUGGCCGCUAAUUCCCAGCAUCCGAUUCUUCAGGAAGAUAAAUCGUAAAACCAUAGUUACCGUAGACUAUGAUAAAACUGGGUAAAACCAAAGCCC